RNAcentral lists this ribosomal RNA (1414 nucleotides) under uncultured haloarchaeon. RNAcentral's name for it is "bacterial SSU rRNA". It matches the Rfam family "Archaeal small subunit ribosomal RNA". The record is from RNAcentral. Lineage: Archaea; Methanobacteriati; Methanobacteriota; Halobacteria; Halobacteriales; Halobacteriaceae.
AUUCCGGUUGAUCCUGCCGGAGGCCAUUGCUAUUGGGAUCCGAUUUAGCCAUGCUAGUCGCACGAGUUCAGACUCGUGGCGAAUAGCUCAGUAACACGUGGCCAAACUACCCUUCGGAACACAAUACCCUCGGGAAACUGAGGCUAAUAGUGUAUAUCGUACCACCACUGGAAUGAGUGGUACGCUAAACGCUCCGGCGCCGAAGGAUGUGGCUGCGGCCGAUUAGGUAGACGGUGGGGUAACGGCCCACCGUGCCAAUAAUCGGUAUGGGUCAUGAGAGUGAGAACCCAGAGACGGAAUCUGAGACAAGAUUCCGGGCCCUACGGGGCGCAGCAGGCGCGAAACCUUUACACUGCACGACAGUGCGAUAGGGGGAUCCCAAGUGCACAGGCAUAGCGCCUGUGCUUUUCGGCACCCUAAGGCGGUGCCAGAAUAAGGGCUGGGCAAGACCGGUGCCAGCCGCCGCGGUAAUACCGGCAGCCCAAGUGAUGGCCGAUCUUAUUGGGCCUAAAGCGUCCGUAGCUGGCCGCGCAAGUCCAUCGGGAAAUCCACCUGCUCAACAGGUGGGCGCCCGGUAGAAACUGCGUGGCUUGGGACCGGAAGGCGCGACGGGUACGUCCGGGGUAGGAGUGAAAUCCCGUAAUCCUGGACGGACCGCCGAUGGCGAAAGCACGUCGCGAGAACGGAUCCGACAGUGAGGGACGAAAGCCAGGGUCUCGAACCGGAUUAGAUACCCGGGUAGUCCUGGCCGUAAACAAUGUCUGCUAGGUGUGGCUCCCACUACGAGUGGGUGCUGUGCCGUAGGGAAGCCGCUAAGCAGACCGCCUGGGAAGUACGUCCGCAAGGAUGAAACUUAAAGGAAUUGGCGGGGGAGCACUACAACCGGAGGAGCCUGCGGUUUAAUUGGACUCGACGCCGGACAUCUCACCAGCAUCGACUGUGGUAAUGACGAUCAGGUUGAUGACCUUAUCCGAGCCUCAGAGAGGAGGUGCAUGGCCGCCGUCAGCUCGUACCGUGAGGCGUCCCGUUAAGUCAGGCAACGAGCGAGACCCGCACCCUUACUUGCCAGCAGUACCGCGAGGUAGCUGGGGACAGUAGGGGGACCGCCGUGGCUAACACGGAGGAAGGAACGGGCAACGGUAGGUCAGUAUGCCCCGAAUGUGCUGGGCAACACGCGGGCUACAAUGGUCGAGACAAAGGGUUCCUACUCCGAAAGGAGACGGUAAUCUCAGAAACUCGAUCGUAGUUCGGAUUGUGGGCUGCAACUCGCCCACAUGAAGCUGGAUUCGGUAGUAAUCGCGUGUCACAAGCGCGCGGUGAAUACGUCCCUGCUCCUUGCACACACCGCCCGUCAAAGCACCCGAGUGAGGUCCGGAUGAGGCGUUCCACGAACGUCGAAUCUGGGCUUCGCAAG